This 9662-nucleotide long non-coding RNA is filed under the name Gossypium raimondii (Peruvian cotton). RNAcentral describes it as "long non-coding RNA (GRAI_LNC007552)". Lineage: Eukaryota; Viridiplantae; Streptophyta; Magnoliopsida; Malvales; Malvaceae. The record is from RNAcentral.
AGAGGAAAAAAUGUUUUCUGCUAGGGUUUUUAAUCCCAGCCCCCACUGUCGCCGUUCUCAAACGAACCAACCUCCGGCGUUCGAAGGCGCUUCGGGUCUUAGCUUUUCGCCAGCCUCCCGAUUUGGAGCGGUGCGAGUGUAGGUUUCAACGGGGAAGCUUCAAAGGUAAAAAAAAACCCUUUUUUCUCUUUUGAUUUAUAUUUGUAUAAAAGCAAAAAAAUGAAAUAAAACAGAUAGCAGAGAAGAACCCCCGAUUCACCUUUGUUUUCUCUUUUCUAUUCGUAUCUCUUUUACACUAAAAAAAUAAAAUCCCCUUUUACAGAUUUAUCUCGGCCUUUUAUAACCACAAAAAGAAAAUGAAAUAAGCAAAAAAUAUCUCCUCUCAAUAUUCAUUGCGUUUUUUACUAUUAUUCUGUUACUGCUGCGUUGUACGUCCCCUUUUUCCACAGGUUCGGUGGCCGUGGAGUGCGCCCGUACGUGGAGGCCGAAACGUGCUACGAUUGGGCGUUGGGCGCUGCGUGGGUGCUGUUACGGUGCUGAGGUAGAUGCGGCUCUCCUUACUGCUUAGGGUUUUUUCUGUGUAAUUUUGAUGUGUUGGGCUGUUAGCUGCUAGGUUUAGGGGUUAUUGGGCCACUUAUUUGUUGGGCCUUAGACGAGUUUAGGCCUGCUGAAAUUGCCUGCUUUGUUUUUGUUUGGGCCCGGGCAAAUUGGGCUUGUACAGCUGCCCCUCUUUGCUCAUUGUCGUGUAACGGGAAUAGAGCAAAGACUAAAAGCCCAAUUGUGCCCGGUCCUACUGAGCCUCACCUUCUUCAGUGCUUUUCUUCUUCAAGUUGCACCAUUCCAACCUACUGCAUCUUCAGAGGUAUAGGAACUGGUGCUCCAAUCUACUCCACUGGAAUGUCUGGGAGAUAAGAUUCGUAUGCUGUAGCUUCAAAAUUUGCUAUCUUUAAUCUGCUCCACUGUAACUUCAAGGAGAUAAGACUUGUAGCUUCAAGUUGUUCUGCUACAACUUAAAGGUAAAUCUGAUGCAAUCUGCUCUACUGCCACUUCAGACAGAUGAGAUCUGCGGUUUUAAUCCUCUCCACUGCAACCUCAAGGAGAUAGGAUUAAUUUCUUCAAUUUGUUCAACUGCAAUGUCGGGGAAACCAGAUCCGCCAUCGUAGCUUCAAUCUGUUCCACCGCACCGUCAGGGAAGUAAGAUCCACCGUUGUGGCUUCAAUCUUUUAAAUUGCAAUGUCAGGAAAACUAGAUCCGCCGUCGUAGCUUCAAUCUAUUCCAUUGCACUGCUAAGGAAGUAAGAUCCACCGUUGUGGCUUCAAUCUUUUUAAUUGCAAUAUCAGGGAAACCAGAUCCGUCGUCAUAGCUUCAAUCUGUUCCACUACACUGCUAAGGAAGUAAGAUCCACCAUUGUGGCUUCAAUCUUUUUGAUUGCAAUAUCAGGGAAACCAGAUCCGCCGUCGUAGCUUCAAUUUGUUCCACUGCACUGCUAAGGAAGUAAGAUCCGCCGUUGUGGCUUCAAUCUUUUUGAUUGCAAUAUCAGGGAAACCACAUCCGCCGUCGUAGCUUCAAUCUGUUCCACUGCACUGCUAAGGAAGUAAGAUCCGCCGUUGUGGCUUCAAUCUUUUUGAUUGCAAUAUCAGGGAAACCAGAUCCGCCAUCGUAGCUUCAAUCUGUUCCACUGCACUACUAAGGAAGUUAAGAUUACUGGCUUCAAUGUACUCCACUGUAACCUCAGGGAGGUAAAAUCUGCCAUCUUUGAUCUGCUCCACUACUGCUUAGGGAAAUAAGAUCUGUAAUCUUCAAUCUAUUCCACUGUUGUCCAGGGAGAUAGAAUUACUGGCUUCAAUGUACUCCACUGUAACCUCAGGGAGGUAAAAUCUAUCAUCUUCGAUCUACUUCAAGCCAAUACAUGAAGACAAGAUCUGCUUUUUCCUUCGAUCUACUUCGCCACCAGUAUGGGAAGGCAAGAUCUGUUAUCUCUGAUCUACUUCACGCCAGUACAUGAAGACAAGAUCUGCUUUCUUUGAUCUGUUUCGCCACCAGUAUGGGAAGACAAGAUCUGUUAUCUUUGAUCUACUUCACACCAGUACAUGAAGACAAGCUCUGCUUUCUUUGAUCUGCUUCGCCACCAGUAUGGGAAGGCAAGAUCUGUAUAUUCGAUCCACUUUGCUACUAAUAUAGGAAGACAGGAUCUGGUAUCUUUGAUCUACUUCACGCCAGUACAUGAAGACAAGAUCUGUUUUCUUCGAUCUACUUCGCCACCAGUAUGGGAAGGCAAGAUCUAGUAUCUCUGAUCUACUUCACGCCAGUACAUGAAGAUAAGAUCUGCUUUUUCCUUCGAUCUGCUUCGCCACCAGUAUGGGAAUGCAAGAUCUAGUAUCUCUGAUCUACUUCACGCCAGUACAUAAAGACAAGAUUUGCUCUCUUUGAUCUAUUUCGCCACCAGUAUGGGAAGGCAAGAUCUGCAUCUUUGAUCCACUUCGCUACCAGCAUAGGAAGACAGGAUCUGUUAUCUUUCAACCUGCUCCACUGUUCCUCAGGGAGAUAAGGCUUAUGAUUUCACCGAUCUGCUCUCUGUGGAACAUGACCUGUAUGAUUCAUCUUAUGAACCUAAUUAUGCCUAGUGAUUAGGAUGUCAUGAUCAGAAUGAAUCAAAUGCCCCUAACUAGACAUGUAUGAAUGACAUUUGAAUGAAUGCAAAAUGUCAUGAAAAUGAUAUUUUAACGCUCGAGUUAUCAUUACUCCAAGUUUAUUAAGGUCUUAUCGCUUAAUGUACUAUAGCGCCUUUAUCCUAGGCUGAAGAACCCAAUAAGCACUUAACCAAAUUGCCCCCCACUGUAAACCUCCAAGUUUGAUCCACUGAGAUGCAAAAAAUUGUACCAUCUUUUCCGUUGUAACCCAAGAGUAAAAGAUUUGGCCUUUUCUCAAUCCUUUGUUAUCACAAUACAGGAUGUGAAACUUUUUGGUCUCUUACACCAUUCCCAGGGUGUUGUACCAAAUGCUCAUGCACAAAUGAAGAAAUCUUCUCCAAAAACAACUUCCUCUUAUUAUUCGGUGAUCAUCGCUGUCUUGUUCAUUGAAGCUUUGUCACCAACACGAUAUCUUGUCAUUUGUUGGACAAGAAAAUUCAAAGGGAUAGUCUUAAUUUAGACUCUUUUUUAUCAGAUUUCCAACCUAGUGCAUUCUAAACAAUAGUCCUGUUUGAGGUUCCUAUAUUAUUCAGAAAUUUCUAGAGUAAUAAGCAAAACUUCCCUUGUGAAAGUUUUAUUAGUCUAUUAAUCAUUAUUCUAAUGCAACAUGCUUGCAAAAAAGAUUAUGGAUAAGAAUAGAAUUGGUCCUGAGCAUAGCUUGAAAUGAAUAAGUUGUCAAAGAUAAUAAAGAUAAAUGACAAAGAAAUGGAUUUAGAAAUGUGUAUCUUGGAAAUGAAUGAAGUGUUCCAAGAAUAACAAAAAUGGUAUAAGGAUUAGGUGCCCCAGAUAUCGUAACUUGAACUUCUCUGUACAGACUUUCUGAAGACCAUUCCGAGUUUAACAUGUGUUUAGGAGAUCUACAAUACUUCGUCGAUGCCCCAAGAUGUCGCAUACCCUUUCCUGCUGAUUUUGGUAUAGCAAGACCACUAUAUAUCCCAUUCUGAUCAGUAUUUGAGCCACCCUUUUCGGGUUUUCAACUCAAAUCCCCUUUGGUCUAAGGCGCCCUUUGCGAGUUUUCACCUUAGCCUCUCCUCCUUUUUUUUUUUGGAAUCAAAGCGCCCUUUGCGGGUUUUCACCUUGGUUCCUUCCCAAGACCGAAUCUGAAUUUACUGGAUUAGGCAAGUUUCUUCCAUCCAUUUCAGCCAGGAUUAGGGCUCCUCCCGAAAAGGCAUUUUUUCAACGUAAGGACCCUCCCAAUUCGGCAUCCAUUUCCCCCUAAAAUCUUUUUGUAGAGGAAGAAUUUUUCUCAACACCAGGUCCCCCUCGUGAAAUUCUCUGGAUCAGACCUUCUUGUUGUGGGCUCGCAUCAUUCUUUUCUGGUACAUCUGAUCAUGCUGAAUAGCCAUUAGCCUUUUCCUUCAAUUAGGUUCAACUAAUCGUGUCAGUAUUGGAUUUUCAUCUUACUUUAGCUCAGCCAAAACUCGAAAAGAAAGAAUUGCAACUUCAAUAGAAAAAAUCGUGAUGAACUAAAGAGAGAGGCAUUACUCCGGCAGAGUUUUCACUGCAUCAUUCAUGAUAUUAAUCUUGAACAUACUGCAAAUUUCUGAUAUCGUGCUGUUGUUCAGAUUGCAAUGACGGCGCUUAAACCGGGUACAUCCUGGUAUCACUAUGCGAAGGCAUCUUUGAAUGCUUGAAGUAACCCAACAACGUAUUGCUUUUUCAGUCAUGCAUGUUCCCUCAAGGUCACAGUUUUUAUUGUCUCCUCAUGAGGUAAAAUUUUUUUUUCUGCUCUACCAUCCUUAAUAAGUCCAGAAAUAAGCUACGAUCCAUGUCAUCUUCAAAGUUGUGAGAUCCCUCUAAACACAUGUCUCACUCAAAAGGAGAUUCUAAAUCUGUAGCAGUGUCAUUCAUGUCAUUGAUAUUUGGGGACCCAUAGUGGGUACCAAAAAAUAUAAAAAAGAAUGUAUGAAUAAUAUGAAUGAACGAAUGAAUGAUUUGGCAGGAGAAAUCCAAUAGAAUGAAGAAAACGUAAAGACUGAAAGAACAUUUGCUCAAAGAUGAUUGCAAUAAUGUAUUCAUUAAAAAUAAUAAUGUUCAGACAUGAGCCUAUUUCACAAAGGAGUUCUUAUUACUUCUAGGCUAAAAGCAACAAAUGUGUUCUGAACAUUACUCUAACAGACUCUAAAUAAUAUAGGGGUUUCCUCUGCAGUCCCAUUAUUUUUAACACCUCCCAGGCGAAUAUCUGACCAGAAAGCAUUGCAUUCCCUUCAUUAUCAAUCAUGAUUGGGUAAUGGAUUUUCUGCACUUGAUGAGUCACCAAACUUGACAACACCCAUGUCGAUGAGUCUUUCAACUUGCUUCUUGAAGGCAGUGCAAUUCUCAAUCGAAUGUCCCGUAAUUCCCGCAUGGUAUUCACAUUGCGCGUUCGCAUCAUACCAUUUGGGAUACGAAGGUUGUAGAGGCUUCACAGGAAAAGGGGAAACAACAUGGGCAUCAAACAGAUUUUGAUACAGUUUCCUAUAUGGUACUGGAAUUGGCGUGAAUCGGGGCCUCUCUGUGUUUUGUCCUGUACCAGCUUCCUGUCUCGAUGAACCUUGCUGGUUAGCAGCCACCUUUCUUGGCUGACUUACACUAACUGAUUUAGAGUAACCCAUGUUGUUCACCUCAUCUUCUCUUCUCCUUGAGACUGACCUCUUGUUACUCUCUCCAGCAUCGAUCUUUCCAUUUAUUAUGGCAUUUUCGAUCAUCUCGCCAUUCAUGAUUAUGUCGGGAAAGCUUUUUGUGGCACUCCCCAACAUAUGUGUAAUGAAUGGUGUCUUCAGUGUGUUAAUGAACAGCAUGUUUAUUUCUUUUUCCAAGAGUGGUGGUUGGACGUGGACUGCGACCUCCCUCCAUCUCUGUGCAUACUGCCUAAAGCUUUCGCUCGGGUUCUUCUCCAUAUUCUGAAGGGUGAUUCUAUCAGGAGCCAUGUCUGUCACAUGACUAUAUUGUUUCAUGAAUGCUUGCGCCAAGUCCCUCCAUGAACCAAUCGUGGCACGACUCAAUUGAUUGUACCAUUUGGAUGUUGCCCCUGCAAGGCUGUCUUGGAAACAAUGUAUCAAGAGUUGGUCGUUGUUGACAUAUCCCACCAUUCGCCUGCAGAACAUGGUGAUGUGAGCUUCUGGGCUGCUUGUCCCGUUGUACUUGUCAAAUUCAGGCAUCUUAAACUUAUGAGGAAGUACUAAAUCUGGUACUAAACUUAGCUCUUUUGCGUCAAUGCCUCGAUAACUCUCAGUGACCUCCAUCGCCUUGAACUUCUCCUCGAGCCACCUACACCUUUCCUCUAACUGUUUCGGUAACUCCUCCUUCAUUCUUUCCUUCUCAACCACUUCAUCAAAGUCAGGAAUGGCAGAGUUAACAGGAUUAUUUUCAGGAUUAGAACCCGGCCCAGUUUGGAGGUUCGAAAUACCAGCCCGAAACUACUGAGGCAUGAUAGUGACAGUAGAUUUACGCGGUUAUUCAGCUUGGGCUCGCAUAUGUGGAGGGGUGAAACCUGGAGUGUAAAGAAUUUCAUCAUUAUUUCCCUCAUCGACAUUUGCCAUGGGACCCUUUCGUUUAUCACUUCCCUUAAUUAUUAGUUGGGUUAACUUUGCCACUAUAUCUUCUUGGGAUUCUCGCAUCUUCUCAGACAUCUCUUGUUUCAUCUUGUCUAACCGCUCCUGCAUUUGUAGCUGAAGCCGGUCUUGCAUCUCCUUCUGGUACUGUUCGAGCUUUUCUAAUCUCUGAUCCAUAUCUUUUGUCUUUGCUCGAGUGCCGUAUCGAUGUUGGGUUGGUUGGUUGGAUUCCAGGUUAACUGAGCAAUGAUUUUAGUUAAUUAGGAUCUUUGAAUAAUCUUUGAUGCAUAUGAUGUAAUGAAAUGCGAAUGCAUGAAAUGAAUGCAUAAAGAGACGUUGAUUCUGAUUCAAUUCCAUUUAGAAAACCUUACUAGAGGACAAAUUUCUUUACAUAAAGUGGAUAUAUAUAUGGCUUUGCCCUCAUACUCGAAGCAAAGACAUCUUCUCCUUUCUCAUCCGGAUGUUAAGCUAAACCUCGCGAACUUCCAAUGGAUGUCACUGCUAGGUCCUUCUACUUGAUUCUGGUCGCAAUCCGUUGUCUGCCUAUCCUCGUAAUGCUCAUUAGCUUCUUUAAGAAAUUUGGAAUGUUGAAAGCUGUUAGACAAAUCAUCUUGAAUCCUCGGGCCCCAAAGUAAAGUCACGAAUUCUUCCAUCGCCCUUCUUGUAUUUCUUGGAAUAUAUUCAGGCUGCCGUACUAUUUUCCAUUUUAUCAAGAAACCCGUUUUCUUAUGAUAGGCUUUCUAAACUAGUAAUCAAACUUGAAUCAACAUCUCUUUUCUACAAUGCAAAUGCAAUGCAAUCAUAACCAAAACAAAACAAAACGGGUUAGUAUCGGGUAUAAACAUUAAAUCCAAUACAAUCAAGAAAUAAUAAAAACUCCUAGUCAGGUAUCUACUAAGGUUUAGAGUAAUUCUACCUAGGGUAAGUUCCUAAGGUUCACUAUGUGUGGUUUGGCUUCUAAGGUAAAGGUACCCGAACCAGCAGAUUCCUCGAUCUUCACCCAUUAUAGGCUCAUUGAAUCGAGUUUAGUUCAGGGGAAUACAUUUCCCUAUGGCUGCACGGAGAUGAAAAUCUCACGAAGACAUAGGUACGGAUGUAUCCCGGAAGCGGUCCACUACCCUGCACGGAGAUGAAAACCUCACGAAGGACUAGUUUCUCGCUCCCACUUAAAGGGUGAAAUGCAAAAUGCAAAUGCAAAGUUGCCAAAAUACCAUGAUAAAACAUCAAUGAGUGCGAAGGGAACUCAUGAAUUUUUUUAAAAACUUUUGAUUAUUGACACAAAGACAAAUAUGAUCAAUUUAUGGCUCGACUCUCUAAUGUCCCCAGCAGAGUCGCCAAGCUGUCGAAACCGUUUUUUGAAAACAAAAAUUUUUAGUGUCGACUUAAAAAUAAAAACUGGAGUCGCCACCGAUCCUUUAUUAAGGUGUGAUCGGCCCACCUUAAAAAUAACUUUGGUCUGCGAAGUUUGAGAAAAUAGGCUCGGGAGUCAGUUACGCACGAGGAAGGAUUAGCACCCUCGUAACGCCCAAAAUUGGUACCAAAUUGAUUUUUUAAUGCCUUGGUGUCGAAAAUUUGAAAAGAUUUUAAAAGGAAACUUUUUAUUUCAUGAAUGGAUUAAAAUAAUAAGACAUUCAUAUUUCAAAGAAAUAAAACACCACACCAGUGAGUUAGGGCACAAUGUUUUUAAAUCUCCAAAAUACCCGAAUAUUGCCUUUUGCUUUUGAAAAUUCUUAUCUCGAGGAAAAAAAUGUCAUGACCAGUAAGUUAGGACCCAACAUUUUUGAAUUCCCGAGAAUAAGUUUUUAUUUGAAAUUUGUGAAUUUGUUGCAAAACAAAUACUUGGCUUUCUAAAUUCAUCGAAAAAAUAAUCGCGAUCCAGUAAGUUAGGACACGAUCUUUCACGAGAAUCAUGAAUGCCAAAUAUUUUGGAAUUUAUAAAAUAUGAUGAUUUAAGUGCUUUGACAAAACAAAAACAUAUUUCCCAAAAGGUAUGUUAAAAGUUAAUGUAUAAUACGAAACAAAAACUUUAAUUUAAAACAUAUUUGAAUAAAUAUUUACAAAUAUAUAUAUACAGGUACAAUAUACAAGUAGAUUUGUAAAUGUGUGUCCGCAUAUUAAAACACAUACAUAUAGGUAUAUAUAUAUAAAAAAUGAAAUAUGCAGAAAAACUUAUAAUAACUCCUAAAAAAUAUGUAUGUUUAUUUUACAAAUAUACAUGUAUAUGUACAUAUGAAAAUUCUGAAAGUAAAAUAAAAUAUAAAAAUAUGUAUUUGUGUAUAUAAUUAAAAAAAAUAAGAAAAUGUAUAAGUGUAUGUAUUGGUAAAUCAUGAAAAUGCAUAUAUGUAUGUUAAAAUGCUUAUAUAUGUACAAUAUGUAUAAAAUAAUGGAAUAUAUAUAGAACAUCAAAAAAAAAAAAUUUAAAAAAUGUAUAUAUAUGCAUGAAUUAUAAAACCUAGAAAUAAACAUUAUAAAAUAUAAAUGUAUAUAUAUAUGUAUAUAAAACCAUGAGAAUAAAAUAAUAACGAAAUAUAUAAAAUAUAUAUGCACAUUUAAAAAACAUUUAAUAUAUAAAGUACCUAUUAUAAAGUACAUAUGCACGCGUAUGUAUAGGUAUAAUAAUAAUAAUAAUAAUAAUAAUAAUAAUAAUAAUAAUAAUAAUAAUAGUAAAUAGUAAACUUGAUUAGAAAAACAAAGGCAAAGGAUAAAGGACGUAUUUGCAAAAUGCGCAUAAUCUGAAGGGCCAAAAGGGGAAUUAGUCCCGCCCUUCCUAAACGCUACGCAGAAUUGGACUAAAUCGUCACACGGGCAAAAUGUUUGGGCCAAAUUUCAAGGGAAAAAAAACUUGAUUAAAACGCGUCGCAAAAGGGGGAGGGCUAGCUGCGCAAUUUACCCUUUAAGGCCAGAACACGCGGGUUAUGGCUACCUAAACGGCGCCGUUUUGCCAACCUUAUUUAAAAAAUUUUCUUUUAAAGAAACAGAAGGUUUGCAUCAGAGGAAAAAAUGUUUUCUGCUAGGGUUUUUAAUCCCAGCCCCCACUGUCGCCGUUCUCAAACGAACCAACCUCCGGCGUUCGAAGGCGCUUCAGGUCUUAGCCUUUCGCCAGCCUCCCGAUUUGGAGCGGUGCGAGUGUAGGUUUCAACGGGGAAGCUUCAAAGGUAAAAAAAAAAACCCUUUUUUCUCUUUUGAUUUAUAUUUGUAUAAAAGCAAAAAAAUGAAAUAAAACAGAUAGCAGAGAAGAACCCCCGAUUCACCUUUGUUUUCUCUUUUCUAUUCGUAUCUCUUUUACACUAAAAAAAUAAAAUCCCCUUUUACAGAUUUAUCUCGGCCUUUUAUAACCACAAAAAGACAAUGAAAUAAGCAAAAAAUAUCUCCUCUCAAUAUUCGUUGCGUUUUUUACUAUUAUUCUGUUACUGCUGCGUUGUACGUCCCCUUUUUCCGC